Molecule: long non-coding RNA, 1365 nt
Organism: Falco peregrinus (peregrine falcon)
Lineage: Eukaryota; Metazoa; Chordata; Aves; Falconiformes; Falconidae
Exons: 4
Source: RefSeq, a predicted model, not a curated record
CGAAGGUCGCUCGAGAUGUUACUUCGCCAGGCGUGCCUCGUGCUUGCGAGUCGGAGUGCUGACUACGGAGGGAUCCCUUUUGUAGCCGCCGAGGGCCCGCGAGGCUCCGUGUGCCCGCCGCUUCCGAGUGCUGCGCUGCGGCUCGGGCAACGGCCGGGGAGGAACUGUCGGUCCCUCGUGGUAACGCAGCCGGGCCUGCUAGGCGCUUAAAGCAGCGCGUCCGGCCGGGCAGUAUUGUUUUCCGAGGCUGUAAAGGAGCCCGAGGUAUAAACCCGCUUGACGUUUCCGUACGGCGGUGCGCUUUGUCGGAGAGCUCGGCCGUACUGACGGAGCUGGCACAGGGUUCCCGCGGGACUCCGGCUUUGCCCGUCUCGUGGAAAGGCUCCAGAGCCUGCUUGGGAAGCCGCUUGACAAGGCACGGCUUUGCCGUGAUUUUUACGCCGGAAUUCCGACGGUAACGCCGAUGCCACGUGUUAGCCUUUCUCCAGCAGCUCUUCAAAGCAGAGUGAGCCUUAAGAAUCGGACUGCCUUGUAACGAAAUUCGAAACAAAGCGGCGGGGUGAAGCGGCUGGAAGCGUCCUGCCAGUCUGCCGUGGGUAUCGCUGCCGUGCGUGUUACCUGCCUGUCUGCCGAUCGCUCCUGCCUCUUGUUGUGCCCCGGGCCUCGGCUGUUGCGUGCAGAGAAGCUGUCAGCCUUGUGAGAGAGCACGCCGCCGGCAAGCGCAUCGUGGUGCUUCGGUACCGAGCUGAGACCGCAGGCGUCCGUCUUUUGUUUGCGAAAAGGGAUCGCGAGGAAAGGUGCUGACCUCGGAGGGGGAGAGGUGGCGGGGGAACAGGGGGCGUUCCCACAAGGCAGCGGUGUGGAGCCGAAGGGGACUGCGAUUGAACGGGGACGGAGCCGUUUGGACCGAGUCUUGAAGAUCUCUCGGGUUUUUGUCCGAGGAAACUUCGUCUCGAGACGGUCCUAUCGCUCGCUGGCAACGUGACUAGUUGAAUCGAGAAUGUUCGCUGCCGGAACUUCAUCCACCGAGAUGGGAAGCCAGGCAACUUCCUAACGGGCCGUGGGCAGAGUUCCCUUCUUGAUGCCGUGCCUCUAUAAUAAACUGUGCAGUCCGUUAGCUGGACGGGCUGCAGUACCCAAAUUUUUUCGCCAGGUGGCAGCACCGCGCCCCCCCCCGGCGGAGUAAGGGCAGCGCAUGCGCAGACGCGGCAUGACGCCGAAGGGGGCGUGGCCUCCGGGCACGUCGCGGGCCGAUGACGCAAUCCCGCUUUGGCGCAUGCGCAGAAGGGCUUUCUGGCCAAGUAAGGUCAGCGCAUGCGCAGAAGCGGCUUUGACCCUCAGGGGCGGGGCUUCCGGCCCCGUGCG